CCUACGGGCGGCUGCAGUGGGGAAUAUUGCACAAUGGGCGCAAGCCUGAUGCAGCGACGCCGCGUGCGGGAUGACGGCCUUCGGGUUGUAAACCGCUUUUGAUCGGGAGCAAGCCUUCGGGUGAGUGUACCUUUCGAAUAAGCACCGGCUAACUACGUGCCAGCAGCCGCGGUAAUACGUAGGGUGCAAGCGUUAUCCGGAAUUAUUGGGCGUAAAGGGCUCGUAGGCGGUUCGUCGCGUCCGGUGUGAAAGUCCAUCGCUUAACGGUGGAUCUGCGCCGGGUACGGGCGGGCUGGAGUGCGGUAGGGGAGACUGGAAUUCCCGGUGUAACGGUGGAAUGUGUAGAUAUCGGGAAGAACACCAAUGGCGAAGGCAGGUCUCUGGGCCGUUACUGACGCUGAGGAGCGAAAGCGUGGGGAGCGAACAGGAUUAGAUACCCCAGUAGUC
This 447-nucleotide ribosomal RNA is filed under the name uncultured Bifidobacterium sp. RNAcentral describes it as "bacterial SSU rRNA". It matches the Rfam family "Bacterial small subunit ribosomal RNA", at positions 338 to 795 of the family's 1533-position model. The record is from RNAcentral. Lineage: Bacteria; Bacillati; Actinomycetota; Actinomycetes; Bifidobacteriales; Bifidobacteriaceae.